CCUCUAAGGCCCGGGGCCUGAAGGCAGUGAUAUCUAUUAUUCACUCCAGUUUACAAAGGAGGACAGCUGAGAUUCAGAGAGGUUUACUAACUUGCUGAAGAUUACACAGCUCCAAAAUGGUAGAGGAAGGACUCAACUUGAAGGCCUCAGGAUCCUAAUGUCUCAGCCUUCUGGUGAACACAAAGCCCAUCAGAACAGAGCUGGGCCUUCACUAGUCUGGACGAUCAGCUGCUCAGAGCCUUGCAUACAGUGGGAGGCUGAGGAAUGUUCUUUCUAGAAGAAGAGGUGCUCCAGGCUGACUCCAUACCUCCCACUGAAUGACAAUUGUUCUAAAGGUAGACAUUCUUAUUUCAUCAUCAAGAAAAGCACUCUGUAGUGAACAAGGGCACUCACGCAAUUGGAUUCAUGGAGAGAUGUUUGUUUUUCUCCCACUUGUUUACUGUUGCUGGUGUUAGAUCAAGUCUGGCCUUUACUAUUCCAUUAAAAAAUGACCAUUUGUGAUUAGAUAUUUACAAAAAUAUAUUC
Molecule: long non-coding RNA, 525 nt
Filed under: Homo sapiens (human)
Lineage: Eukaryota; Metazoa; Chordata; Mammalia; Primates; Hominidae
Description: HSALNT0084535
Source: RNAcentral